CCCUUAGAUGUUCUGGGCUGCACGCGCGCUACACUGACGCACGCAACAGGUGCCUGCUCCGAGAGGACUGGGUAAUCAUUUGAGUGUGCGUCGUGAUGGGGAUAGAAUAUUGUAAUUAUUACUCUUCAACGAGGAAUUCCUAGUAAGCGCCAGUCAGCAGCUUGCGCUGAUUACGUCCCUGCCCUUUGUCCACACCGCCCGUCGCUCCUACCGAUGGGUGAUCCGGUGAAUGAUUCGGACUUCAGCGGCUCCCCUGGGGUGCGCCGGAGAAAGUUUUGUGAACCUUAUCACUUGGAGGAAGGAGAAGUCGUAACA
Molecule: ribosomal RNA, 315 nt
Filed under: uncultured eukaryote
Lineage: Eukaryota
Description: partial 18S ribosomal RNA
Rfam family: Eukaryotic small subunit ribosomal RNA
Source: RNAcentral